Molecule: long non-coding RNA, 5554 nt
Organism: Alexandromys fortis (reed vole)
Lineage: Eukaryota; Metazoa; Chordata; Mammalia; Rodentia; Cricetidae
Exons: 4
Source: RefSeq, a predicted model, not a curated record
GACUGCAUGUAUGUUUGUGUACCAUGUGCAUACAGUGCCCUUAGUGGCAGAAGAGGGCACUGGAUUCCCAGGACCUGGAGGUUCAAAUGAUUGUGUCCUACCAUGCGGGGGGCUAAGAAUUGAACCCUGGUCUUCUGCAAGAGCAGCCAGCGCUCUUUACCGAUUUGGUAAGCGUGCCAAGCAAGAUCUACACAUUUUUUAUAAGACUGGCAUGUUUGGACUUUUUGGAAGCUGUUUUCUUUCUUAACUGCAGUAUGCUGGAAUACAUAAGAUGACACCCCAACAUGUUGGGGAGUCAAACAAAGAUGUUCUGAAAAGCCCACACCGUGUCACCGUAGCAGCCAUAGCCUCCUCCAGUUCCCAGCUCAUCAACAGAAUCUCCAGCACAGCCAAGACGUGUCAGAAUCACGUUAAGAUUAAUUUAAUAAAAAAAUAUACAAGGAGAAACUCCAGAAAGCCAUGGUACAAUCCUUGGGAAUUAUCUCUAACCCAUGUUGCAAUGCAUAUUCAAAAAGACUUUGGCAUUCAAAGAUCUCUUGGUCUUCCAGGAAACAAGAGAAGAGUGGCUGUUCAAACUUGGAAACUGUCAGUCACCCAGUGAAAAAGACGGGGGCAGGAUAGGGGAGAAGGAGGCUUGGAAGAUGAAUGCAUCUUUGUAUAUGCACCGGUGCAGACGGCAUGGGUGCCAGGCAAAGGUAAAUGGAGACAUGUGUACCAACCAAGGCAAAAGAAAGGACUUGCAACGGAAAUGCGUUUCAACUUUUAUUAUGAAUGUCCAAAGUGACAGCAUACUGCGGGAGGUGUCUUACAGAUUACAUUCCAAGGGACCACAGAUAAAGAAUUCCAAGCACUUUAAUUGUUCUUUUUUUUUUUUUAACAAAACAAACAAAAGAAUGAUUAAAAAUACUGUUCUGGGUAUAAGCGAUGCUCAUAUUUGAGUUUUUGAGUCCUCCCUCCCCCAAGAAUUGUGUGAACACUUGUGGUUUCAAAAACACAAAUUAGGUCUGGCCUUCUGCAGCGAGCUGUCACCAUCACUGCCUGCAUUAGAAGCGCCUCAGGGCACUAAGCUACCAUUCAGUGGGCCUGAUCGUCACCAUGUUCCUUCCUCUCCCACAAGGCUUCCCAUCUUCGCCUGGGUACCUGCUGCUUGCAUGACAGGACAGGGAGGCCGGAGCAAAGGGUCCAGGACAGUUUGCUGACCCUGGCUUUUCUCAAAGCUCAGUUAAAAAGGAUUUUAAAAAUGAAAGCUUACAACUUUCAGUGUUUUCGAGUGUCCAAAGAAGUCACUAAUGACAAUGGAUUGAAGCCGCAGGCUUCACUUUAAUGCUUUGUACGUGGCUUCACAGUAGUAAGCAUCUACUGUGUUCAAGGGGAAAAAAAAAAACCCAAAAACCAAAAAAUAAAUCGCUGGUGUAGUAACACUAUGGUUCUGGCCAUCUGUGGUUCCGGCACAGUAUGACUCGCCCUGGGACGGUCUCCUCGCCCUCUGUCCUUCCCAUCACGCACUGGACGAUGCUACUGAUGGAGUCUGUUGCCAGUGAUUCCUCAACCAGUUUUGGGCAGUGGGAGUGCGUAUCUCUUACGGAUGUAAAUACUGUUCGUCUGAGCGGAUCCUCAAAAAGAACAGGUAUGAACUAGAAACUCAUAGAGUUUGUGUCUAGAAAUUUAUAAAAUUAAACCUGCUCCGACAGGUAAUACAGGGAGGCAUGCUUGUAACCACGCCUGAGAGCACACAGCCUUCUCAACAGGCAACGGCGGGGCUCCUUUUAAUGCUUCCGGUGUGAUGCCCAUUAGAACUUUGAAGCACGUCUGUCUCAUUUAUUUCUACAAGGCCUGGGACCCGGGAAGCUGCCAGGACUUCAUCAUCUUGCCUGUUGACAAAAGGAAUAAUAACGUCAUCACUGGUGAACUAAACGUUUCCCUGCUGCCGAUUCAUCUCUCCUGGAUCUCCCAUGACUCUGCCACCAGAGACAAAGACCCUUAAGUCUACCAGCACCACUGUGACCCUGAAUGCCCUCAAGUUAGGGCACAGGCAAGAGCUUCGGACAGCCAUGGAAACACACUGUGGAAGGGCGGCAGGGAAGCUAUGCUCACCACCCACGGGAUCCUUCAGAAAACAUCUAAAUGAGAAAAAGAAACAGAUUUGCCACUGUUUUUUAUCCAACAACAAAAGUCAACUUUCUUAAUUAUGUUGGGAGAAUUUCAGUGUUUUCAAAUGGAAGAGACAAUUAAGCAGAACGCAGUUUGGAAAAACAGUUGGUGCUGAGGGAGAAAAGCGAAUCGUACUUCUUGUUCACCAGCACCAGGAAGUGAAGCCACAGCCAUGGUCCUCAGGUUGAUAAAAUUAGAAAAGGCAGUUCCUUGUAAAUCAACCAGAAAAAAAAAAAAAAAAAAAAAAACGAACUGGGCUCCAGAGUGUCAAAGGAAUACCUGAUUGAGUUCAGUCAUAAAAACUAACUUGGGGUCUGUGAAGAUGGCUGGCUCUGUGGGGAUCCAGGCCCUAGUCUGGAUUCCCUAUGUAAGAACCUGGCAUGGUGGCUCUUGAGUCUCUAUCCGGGGUGCUGAGGUGGGGGCGGGAGGGGAAGAGCAGCCCUCAGAGGCUUGCUCUCCAGCCAACCUGGUCAAAGCUGAGCUGCAAGUGCAGUGAGAGACCCUACCUCAAAAACAAAAGUAAGGUGAAGACGUGGGGAAAUAGGGCAGUGUCAGCGCUGGCCUCCACGCACUCCCAAAGGCAAGUGUAAGCACACACACAACUACCUAACGUGGACCGGAGCGGGUAAGCUGUCUACCACAAACGUGGAAUCUCAAUUACCUGCAAUCUGGAGAAAUGGAGCAGUGUGCACAGACUUCCAGGACCACAACUACACUUGAAAUAUAAAUCCAAGCCAGGUGGUGGGGCACCCCUUUAAUCCCAGCCCUCAGGAGGCAGAGGCAGGCGGAUCUCUGAGUUUGAAGUCAGCCUGGUCUACAGAGUGAGUCCAUAUAGAUGAUCUAAUUAUUCAGACAGCUCCCUGAGAGGCCGGUGGGUUGACCUUCCUAACCCACCAGGCUUUUUGUGGCGGCAUGCUCAUUUUAAGCAAUGUGAGUGUCCAAAUCAUUUUCAUCGUUACACCGUUUUCACCAUGGUGGCCCUGUUCUCUUUCGGGUCCCGCACACAGAUACUGAACGCAGAAGUGCAGUCAAUGCUGAGGCCGCCCCACAGGAGACAAACAGCGACCGGAAGGGGAAGCACUCGCUAGGCAGCAAAAUUUCAAGAGCAUUUCCCCAUAUGAUUACUCUCUCUCGUUACCUGGGCAAGAGUCCCGAGUUAGAAUCCUCAAGACUUAAAGACAACAAAGACAAACAACAGGAAACUAAAAUAUACAAGAAUAAAAAUGUUACAAUGAGAUUAUUUUUUACUAGUUAUUACUGUUUGCUAGUUAAUUACUAUUUUUAAAACAGGCAAAAAAGACAAAAACACUUAAAAUUCCUCCUCUAUUUAAAAAAAAAAGAUAAAACAUUGACCAGGAGCUGGGGAUAUAGCUCAGUUUGUAGAGUUCCUGCUUAGAACGCAUGAAACCUCAUGUUCAUGAAACCCAACACCGCAUAAACGAGGCAGAGCAUGGUAGAAGAUACCCAUAAUUCCAGCAUCUGAGAGGAAGAGACAGAUCAGGAAAUCAAGGUUACCCUCAGCUAUACUUCACAUCUGAGGACAGCCUGGGCUACAUGAUCCUGUCUCAACAAAACACAGAACAGAGUAGGAACAUGCUUUCCCAACAUGACUUCCUGUGCACAGCCCACUCUUCAGCCACUUUCUCCCCUAUAGGCAUAACUCUUUCCUCAGGAGAAUUCUAGAAAAUCCAUCACAUCUCAGAAUUGUUAUUCUUUUACAUACCUAUUUUAAUGAUAAAAGUGGAAUGUUUCUUCCUUAUUGGAAAAAAACAUCAUAUUGGAACGAGAAAAAGUUACCACAAUAAAUUUACCUCCAAGUUUCACUAUUUCAUCAUUGGACAUAGGAUGAAAAGUCUACGUGGCAGAGGAGGGGUGCUAACUGACGGGGCAUGCGUGGCACGUGGCGGCGGCACGCAGAAGUCAGUCUGAGUGCAAUGUGGAGAAAAUAUUCACUAACAGGAAGUUUGGCUUGGGAAGAAUUUGUCCUUGUCAUUCUGUAUAAAACCACCUAGAGAAUUCUACUGUAUUUGGGGAAAAACAGAAUGGGAAAGUUGGAUAAACUAUACUUAUACACCAUAUGUAUAUAGAAUGAACACAAAGUGAGCGAGUGUGCGGUGCCUCGCACGACUACAUCAACAACCUCCACAGGCUCUCAGCUUCACAGGUGCACACGAACAGGUGAAGGAAAACACAUAUAUGCAUUUAAGAAAAAUACAACUGAUUGUGCUAAUUAUUUCUAAAAGUGCUGUCUAUCUUGGUUGACUGAAAUGCUCUAGAAUAUGAAUGUUCCUAUUCCAGGGCCACUAAUGACAAAGGGGAUCUGUGGGAUGAGAUGGGUCAGCCUUUCUCUGCUGUGACGUAAGAAACACGAACAGCUCGACCCCAUGACCUCAGUUCAGCAAAUUCUCGGAGACACAGUCCUGCCCUGGCAUUCUGGACACUGGAAAAACGGCUCAGUGGUGGAGAAUACUGACUGCUCUCCCAGGGGACUGGGGUUCGGUCCCCAGCACCCACACAGCAGUUGACAGCCCUAUACAUGUAACUCCAGCUCCAGGGUAUCCAAUGCUCUCUUCUUGCCUCCAUGGGCACCAGGCACACGUGUGGUGCAGACAUACGCUCAGGCAAAAUACUCGCAUACAUUAAGAAAAUACAGAAAUAAAGAAAAUUAGUGCAUGGGAUCAAUAACCAAACUAGAACGUCAGCCCCAAUGUUCCUUGGCUGACAAGGGAUGAGCUACUCCCCUCAUCGUCCUGGCUAUAGGCUUCUAUUAUUGUUUACAUAGUUCACGUAGGAAUGCAUAGACUUCUGUAGAUCUCACAAUUUGAAUAAUUGAGAUGAAUGGCCAUCUUUGGUUACACUGUGAACUUAUAGUAGACCUAGUGUUGGGGUACUUGUGUAUCUGUCAUCCAAAUGCUAACAAAGGCACUUACGAGUUAGGCCCCUGCCCACCAUUCACUUGCUUGACUUCUCAUUUAAAAGACACUGAGUAUAAAUGUCUUCCGCUGAAAACUUCCAAAGGAUGUGGUUUAUAUUUAAAUUGGCUACUGAAACCCGAUGCCAGACUUUGAAAGCAAUUCCCCAACUGUCACGUGCAGCUGUCAAGUAUGGCUCAAAGGAACGGACAAGAUGACAAAGGCAAAGACUUGCUCCUUAGGAUGCCGAGCACCCGGGCUCUGGGGAGCCGGGGUCCUGUCUGGAGAGAAGUGAGCCCACACGCACAGGCGAGCCUGAAUACAGCCGAGGUUUUAUAUUCUCCUCACUAAAAUCUCUACAGUUCAACAAGCCACGCCCUCAGUGCCAGCCUUAGUGGGACUGAAGAAUCCCCCACUGUAGAAGAACUCACUGCGGUUCUCAGAAAGGAGCAAGAUGUCUCAGUUUGUCAAACUUAACUGGGCUUGAGCGA